UACAGAGGUCUCAAGCGUUGUUCGGAUUCAUUGGGCGUAAAGGGUGCGUAGGCGGCGCGGUAAGUCGGGUGUGAAAUCUCGGAGCUUAACUCCGAAACUGCAUUCGAUACUGCCGUGCUUGAGGACUGGAGAGGAGACUGGAAUUUACGGUGUAGCGGUGAAAUGCGUAGAUAUCGUAAGGAAGACCAGUGGCGAAGGCGGGUUUCUGGACAGUUCCUGACGCUGAGGCACGAAGGUCAGGGGAGCAAACGGG
RNAcentral lists this ribosomal RNA (253 nucleotides) under uncultured bacterium. Its description in RNAcentral is "partial 16S ribosomal RNA". It matches the Rfam family "Bacterial small subunit ribosomal RNA", at positions 524 to 776 of the family's 1533-position model. The record is from RNAcentral.